CUUCCAAAGGCCCAUCUGCCUGGAAACCUUGCUGUCUUGCUAUUUAGCUCAGAGCCCUGGAAGCGUUGCUUUUGAUGGCUACCAUUACUGCUUAACUUAGGAACGCUCUGCCUAGUGAGGGGUCUGUGCUAAGCAGAGUGUUCCUAAAUGUAACUGAGCUCAUCAAAGGGAUGCCUGUUCCCAUGUUCAGGUAUCAGUAGACAUCGUGCCUCGAUACUUGGUUUGUGCCUAGUCAAUGCACCGAAUGAUAACUCAUUAGCAACAGGCAGGGGACAAGUUUCAGAUGGUACUCUUCACAGUAAGACAUUAACUGCCAAAAAAUGAACAAGAUAAUUUCGGGUCAAAAGGAAAUGUGCUCUGUUUGCCUUUAGACAUACCAGAAGGUAGUUUUGCUAAGUCACAACAAUCAAGAUUGGAAGAAGAGGUUGCUCCGGGAUCCCCUUUCUCAAUAACAGAAGAAAGAGAGUUGCCAGAAGGAAUUUCCACUUCAUCCCUAGAAGUUGUGCCAGAGAACUUGAACGGUUCUGCCAUUCUCCCAACAUUUGAAAACUUCACUAAAAAACGGAAAAGAAAAUAUGAGCUUAGGUACAGAAAGCGUCCGCUUAAUUCAGAAAAUGCAAAGAAAGCACCGGAUUGCCUAAUAAAACUUUUAAACCAGAUGCAACUGUUCAGACUCAAUAAACUAGAGCGCUUUCAAAAUUUGGUUCUUCAAGAGUUGAGCAGUCUUAAGCAGGAUAUUCAGGCCCUGGAACACCUUGAGAAGGAGGUUCUGGAAUUCUGGGGGAAACAGUCUGCUGAUCUGCAGUCUUUCUGUGAUCUGCAAGUGCUGAGGUACUUUGAAAGGUGUUCUUUCUAGAAGAAUCUUGGUUGAAGUAUGAGGUUCAAUUCAACUCAGACUUCAUAAGAAAGCCAAAGCCUGGUUUUAUGAUUGCAGCCCUCAGCCUGAGCUGCCUGAAGACGAAGAGAAAGAGCAAGGUUAUUGUUGGCUCAGGCCUUGUUAGCCAGACUUCUGUGCUCUGUACGCAAUUUCCUCCCCUCCAAACAUCAUCCCUGGGAACUGCUGAGUUCGGAUAGAAUAUAUGUUGGUAGUUUGCAAUUGGGUUAUUAUCCAUUUGUUCAUAAAAAUUAACCUUUUGUAUUAAAAUUUGGUCAGAUAGUAUUAAUAGAAAGUUCAGGAUGUUAAACAACUUGGAGUGGUGUUGCUUUUUUU
This 1210-nucleotide long non-coding RNA is filed under the name Pan troglodytes (chimpanzee). RNAcentral's name for it is "long non-coding RNA NONPTRT014495". Lineage: Eukaryota; Metazoa; Chordata; Mammalia; Primates; Hominidae. The record is from RNAcentral.